CCUACGGGUGGCAGCAGUGAGGAAUAUUGGUCAAUGGGCGAGAGCCUGAACCAGCCAAGUCGCGUGAGGGAAGACGGUCCUAUGGAUUGUAAACCUCUUUUGCCGGGGAGCAAAAAGCGGUACGUGUACCGCAUCGCGUGUACCCGGCGAACAAGCAUAGGAUAACUCCGUGCCAGCAGCCGCGGUAAUACGGAGGAUGCGAGCGUUAUCCGGAUUGAUUGGGUUUAACGGGUGCGCCGGGGUGGAGUUAAGUCAGCGGUAAAAUUUCGGGGCUCAACCCCGACAAGCCGUUGAAACUGGCUUGCUAGAGUGGGCGAGAAGUAGGCGGAAUGCGUGGUGUAGCGGUGAAAUGCAUAGAUAUCACGCAGAACUCCGAUUGCGAAGGCAGCAUACCGGCGCCCAACUGACGCUCAGGCACGAAAGCGUGGGUAUCGAACAGGAUUAGAUACCCUUGUAGUC
RNAcentral lists this ribosomal RNA (459 nucleotides) under uncultured bacterium. RNAcentral describes it as "partial 16S ribosomal RNA". It matches the Rfam family "Bacterial small subunit ribosomal RNA", at positions 338 to 795 of the family's 1533-position model. The record is from RNAcentral.